This 400-nucleotide long non-coding RNA is filed under the name Nicotiana benthamiana. RNAcentral describes it as "long non-coding RNA (NBEN_LNC024084)". Lineage: Eukaryota; Viridiplantae; Streptophyta; Magnoliopsida; Solanales; Solanaceae. The record is from RNAcentral.
AAGAUUGAAAAAUCAUCACAAACCUCCCUUAUUUCUUUUCUAUUGCAAUUUCUGGAUUAUUAUAUGAUGAUUUUUGAACUUUUCAUAUAUAGAAAAGAAAUAGAAAGAGAUAGACUAGAAACGACAUCUGUUAUGUCAAUGACACCAAAGGGAUAUUAAAUGAAUGGAAUUGGGAGAGAUAGACUAGAAACGACAUCUGUUAUGUCAAUGACACCAAGGGGAUAUUAAAUGAAUUGAAUUGGGAUAUGGAUGGAAUAUAAUGAAAUAGAGCCACUUUUAGGUUCCCUCUGAAAUGAGGCAUGUAAGGGAUCCACUACGAAGAAGUUCCGGGAGUUACGAAGGAAGCUUCGAGCUCAUAUUGGUCAUGGGUUGGGAACGGGAAUUGAACUCUAUGAGAUCG